GAUGAACGCUGGCGGCGUGCUUAACACAUGCAAGUCGAACGGGAAUUACUUUAUUGAAACUUCGGUCGAUUUAAUUUAAUUCUAGUGGCGGACGGGUGAGUAACGCGUGGGUAACCUGCCUUGUACAGGGGGAUAACAGUCAGAAAUGACUGCUAAUACCGCAUAAGCGCACAGGACCGCAUGGUCCGGUGUGAAAAACUCCGGUGGUAUAAGAUGGACCCGCGUUGGAUUAGCUAGUUGGCAGGGUAACGGCCUACCAAGGCGACGAUCCAUAGCCGGCCUGAGAGGGUGAACGGCCACAUUGGGACUGAGACACGGCCCAGACUCCUACGGGAGGCAGCAGUGGGGAAUAUUGCACAAUGGGGGAAACCCUGAUGCAGCGACGCCGCGUGAAGGAAGAAGUAUCUCGGUAUGUAAACUUCUAUCAGCAGGGAAGAAAAUGACGGUA
This 448-nucleotide ribosomal RNA is filed under the name uncultured bacterium. RNAcentral's name for it is "bacterial SSU rRNA". It matches the Rfam family "Bacterial small subunit ribosomal RNA", at positions 28 to 477 of the family's 1533-position model. The record is from RNAcentral.